This is a non-coding RNA of Cinara cedri, 102 nucleotides long. The record is from the annotation of a GenBank genome assembly. NCBI's taxonomy places the organism in Eukaryota, Metazoa, Arthropoda, Insecta, Hemiptera, Aphididae.
AGAAAAAUACACACAUUAUAAUAAGGCUUUAUUAUAAUGUGUGUAUUUUCCACUUUUUAAACUCUGAGCGCAGCCAGUCUAUUCCUGGAUGCGUUCAGAAUA